Podarcis lilfordi (Lilford's wall lizard) is the source of this 77-nucleotide non-coding RNA. Lineage: Eukaryota; Metazoa; Chordata; Lepidosauria; Squamata; Lacertidae. The record is from the annotation of a GenBank genome assembly.
AUCCUUCCAGUGGCACAGUGUGUCAGUGUAUCUGGCUCUUAACCAGAAGGUUGGUGGUUCAAGUCCAUCCAGGGAUG